GGGACUUCCAGCCCGGUGCAGGUGUCAGGGUGCUGGAAGAUACAUUAACAUUAAAAAGGAGACCUUUACAAAGUAGUGAAGAGUUUCCCCAUCUCCACUCAGCACAGUGGAUGCAGGAACAAUCCUGAUUUAAAGAUGAGAGGCUGGUUCUUUCAGAGCAGAGAGAUCAGACAUAGUAGUGUGGAAAGCAGCCCUGGAGUAGCAAGUACGGCAAGUUCAGACAGGACCACAGUGCCUAUGUGGGAUACUUCAGUAUAUUUCCCAGCUCAGUGGAAACAGGAGCACACAGGCAGCUCUGUGCUUCUAAGUCUCAAAUGACAAGAUAUUGGAUAAUCUGGACUUCAGCAGAGCUUUUUUCACUGCCAUACUGUACA
This is a long non-coding RNA of Passer domesticus (house sparrow), 374 nucleotides long. RefSeq lists it as uncharacterized. The record is from RefSeq and is a predicted model, not a curated record. Lineage: Eukaryota; Metazoa; Chordata; Aves; Passeriformes; Passeridae. The transcript has 4 exons.